Molecule: ribosomal RNA, 253 nt
Filed under: uncultured bacterium
Lineage: Bacteria
Description: partial 16S ribosomal RNA
Rfam family: Bacterial small subunit ribosomal RNA
Source: RNAcentral
UACGUAGGUGGCAAGCGUUGUCCGGAUUUAUUGGGUUUAAAGGGUGCGUAGGCGGCCCUGUAAGUCAGUGCUGAAAUAUCCCGGCUUAACCGGGAGGGUGGCAUUGAUACUGCAGGGCUUGAGUAAAGUUGAGGUAGGCGGAAUUGACGGUGUAGCGGUGAAAUGCGCAGAUAUCAGGAGGAACACCAAUGGCGAAGGCAGCACGCUGGGACGUUACUGACGCUGAGACGCGAAAGCGUGGGGAGCAAACAGG